UACGUAGGGACCAAGCGUUGUUCGGAUUUACUGGGCGUAAAGGGCGCGUAGGCGGCGUGGUAAGUCACUUGUGAAAUCUCUGAGCUUAACUCAGAACGGCCAAGUGAUACUGCUGUGCUAGAGUGCAGAAGGGGCAAUCGGAAUUCUUGGUGUAGCGGUGAAAUGCGUAGAUAUCGGGAGGAACACCGGUGGCGAAGGCGGCCUUCUGGACGGAUACUGACGCUGAGACGCGAAAGCGUGGGGAGCAAACAGG
RNAcentral lists this ribosomal RNA (253 nucleotides) under uncultured prokaryote. Its description in RNAcentral is "partial 16S ribosomal RNA". It matches the Rfam family "Bacterial small subunit ribosomal RNA", at positions 524 to 776 of the family's 1533-position model. The record is from RNAcentral.